GGAUGUGAGAGCAAUCUGGUUGUGACAUCUGUCACCCCACUGAUCGCCAGGGUUGAUAGGCGGGUGGCCCCUUCCUCCCUCACCACACCGUGUGUGUCCCUCCCCCUCCUGAAGCACGACGUUCCCAAUAAAGGAGGACCAUUCGUCUUCAGUCAAGGGUAUAUGAGUAGCUGCGCUCCCCUGUUAGAACCUCCAAACAAGCUCUCAAAAUCAAGGUGUCAGCAAGGCCGCAUUCCCUUCUGAAGGCUCUAGGGGAGGAUCUGUUCCUUCUUAUUUGGGUUAUUAGCAGAAUUCAAUUCCUU
This 302-nucleotide small nuclear RNA is filed under the name Propithecus coquereli (Coquerel's sifaka). RNAcentral's name for it is "7SK RNA (ENSPCOG00000008710.1)". It matches the Rfam family "7SK RNA". From Rfam's summary of the family: 7SK was discovered as an abundant small nuclear RNA in the mid-70s but a possible function has only recently been suggested. Two independent studies have found that 7SK RNA binds the CDK9/cyclin T complex (known as elongation factor P-TEFb). The record is from RNAcentral. Lineage: Eukaryota; Metazoa; Chordata; Mammalia; Primates; Indriidae.